This 276-nucleotide long non-coding RNA is filed under the name Setaria viridis. RNAcentral's name for it is "long non-coding RNA (SVIR_LNC002446)". The record is from RNAcentral. Lineage: Eukaryota; Viridiplantae; Streptophyta; Magnoliopsida; Poales; Poaceae.
GAGAAAGAGAGCUAGAGCUGAAGUGCUUUUGUGGUUAUGGGACUCAUACGAGAUCUCUGUGUGUAUAUAUAGACAUAUACGCAUACGCGAGCGGCGAGUGAUGACGUACGCACGUACGUAGGUAGCUUGCCUCGAUCGUGAAUUCGUGAUGUCGAUGAUAACAAGGCACGCAUGCAUCUUUUGCCUAGUUAAGAAGCACAGCGUGUCAAUUGUGUUAAUUCUUGUCCACAAUCCACAGACAAAAUAGAACAAUGCAUGUCUUUCGCUCCAAUUCCG